GUCUAUAGCGCAAACGCUCGCGCGUAAUUUGAAUUGUCGUGCACACGCGCAAACCAAAUAAAUAAAUCAAUAAAUAUGCACGAAAGAACUUUCUUUUAUUUUCUGAAGAUUCGCGACCAUUUAGGCCACCUAGGUACUUGUUAGUAAAAGUUGACGUGAACGUUUCCCUAGGCUGCACGGCUAUUCCCGCGCAAGAUAAGAACUGUCAGGCGUGGCUCACCAGUAGGGGAGCUGAGACCUUUGGGUGAGACUUGGUGACCUGGUGCAGAGAACAGAGAUGAAGACUGGAUUUGGAGAGGUUACUUGAUGCUUACAGAGGCUGACCACGAAAAUUGAAGUCUUGCUGAAGAGAGGUGUUGUGGACAGGAUACGUCAGCGGCCACAUUGAGCCCGUCGCAAGAACGUGUGGACCGUUUCCCAGACGUCAACACUCAGGCCUGAAAUAAGCGGCCACCAUGUGUAGCUGCAACUGGUCAGGCAUCGGUUGUGGCUUUAAAUGCACGGGCAACUGUUUGUGGUGACUUGCGUAUAAGAAUGAGUCGCUGGAUGCUGUACCCUUUCUCGAAAAGGUAAAAUGGUCUUGCUUAAGUGCAGUGUUGCUUGCUUAAACACAGCUUUGUCAUGCACACUAGUUGUUACCGCUUCAUAUUCUUUGGUAAAACUGAUAGCUUUUUUCAGCUAUUGGCAAAAUAAGGAACGAUGCGAGAUAACCGGCUCCAUAUUCUUUUAUGCAUAUUCUUUUGCGGAAAUCACACUGAACAUUUGUGUGUUCGACAAAACAGAAAAUAAUUGCACAAGAUCAAGAGGCAGACGUGACGUACCUUCUUUUCUGGGGCCAUUCCUCCUUGCUUAGCUUCCAGCGCUUUUGUUGGGAUGAGAAAAGAGAGAAAGCAACCGCAGUGUGCGACACAUCUUUAUAACUCGGCUCGUACUGGACAUAUUCUGGAAAUACUUGUGGUGGUCGUUUCAAAAGGCAUUAGGUUCCACUACUCAAUUCAUGCCACGGGCACUUGGAGAAGUCUUGUAGGGCCCCUUCAAGGGUGUUCUAUACUGCAUGCUUAUUGCAUGCGUUAAUGGCAUGCUAGCCGUCUAGCACUUCUGUGCUAGUAAUCCACUUUUUCAAUGGCCCUCUUGGACACACGCAUUACUUCACUAGUGUAUUAUAGCUCUCCACGAGACAGACUAGCGAGAAACAUGGCGUCGGAUAUCUUAUACCAAAGUCAACAUCACUUGAUAGUUUUUAAUAAAAGUACAUAGAUCUCACUCAGAAGAUGUUCAAAAGCCUGCAUUAACAAUCUUCACCACAUUCAGAUUUUUUUUUACAGAAGUGAGAAGACAUUCAAAAAGAGUUCUUAAAUUGCUUUUUUUAGAUCCAGUGGCACACAUAAUGACAAGUGGCUAGCUGCAGCAAUAUUGCAGAUAGUGGGCAUAGAAGUUUGUCCCUUGAAUUCUGAAAAAAA
This is a long non-coding RNA of Rhipicephalus microplus (southern cattle tick), 1460 nucleotides long. The record is from RefSeq and is a predicted model, not a curated record. Lineage: Eukaryota; Metazoa; Arthropoda; Arachnida; Ixodida; Ixodidae.